Molecule: long non-coding RNA, 4793 nt
Filed under: Equus asinus (donkey)
Lineage: Eukaryota; Metazoa; Chordata; Mammalia; Perissodactyla; Equidae
Description: lncRNA (ENSEASG00005028465.1)
Rfam family: Pvt1 oncogene conserved region 1 (bases 1038-1215)
Source: RNAcentral
CAAAGACCCCCGAGUGGGUUGAAACGACGGAUGCAGGGCACUGGGCCCAGGAGAGAGGGGUCAGCCUUUGCUUCCAUAAUAUUGAAAUCACCCACUUGCGUGUCCGUCUUUUCCUCGGGCUGUGACCUCCUUCAAUGGUCUGUGUCCCACUCGUCUUUCAGUCCCUCCUCCCCAUCGUCUAGCAGGGCGCCUGGCUCCCUAUAAGUUUAGCUCAAUAAAUGUUAAGUUGAACGGCGGCAGAUCUUUGCAUCGGUCCAAUCCCGAGCUUCUGUACAGAAAGCAAGAUAAACACGUUCCACUCAGGGGGCCGGCGUUCUCUUGUUCCUUUGGAGGGGCUAUGGGGGAUUCAGGGGGUACUUUAAUACUCCCGAGUGGAGGGAGCUGUCAGACAGCCGGCCCUCUGCAAGGGACAGUCGAAGGAGUUGGGAAGGUGCGUGCGCCCCUCUCACCAGGCCCGCGGAUGCUGGGUGGUACCCAAGGAGGCGCUCGGAUGGGUCACUACGGAUGGAGCUAAGCCAGGGAUCUUCUGCACGAACUUCUCCCAUCUCAGAGCAUCCUCGUCCUUCUAUGUCACUGAACUGGCCGUCUCCAUCUGGCAACUGGGAAGAGUCUGCCUCCAGGGCGCCGGGGGUGGGGAGGAGGGCAGAGCGCAGGAUUGCGGAAUGCGCGGCGCACACGCGAGCGGGCAUCACCGCGGGCUUCGCGCCGGCUCGCUUAGGCUCCGGCGCGGGCGCAGCCAGGACCCCGGCCCGGUGCGGAGCGCGCCCUCCCCCACGCCAUCUGGGCCUCCGGCGGCCCAGGCCCGUCCCGCCUCCCCGAGGCCUUCCGCGGCUCGGUGUCCCACGCUGCCCCGGCGGCGGGCGGACGGCAGCGCGGGCCGCCGGUGAGCCGGGGCGAGCGGGGGCCGAGGACGCACGCGGCCGGACGGGCGGCGCGCGCUCCCCUCCCCCGCCCCGGCCGGCAGCGCGAGCCGCCGUUGACGUCACGGGCGCCCGCCUGCCCUGCGCUCCACUGGGCAGAGCGUGCGCGGCCGGCCGCCGAGCACAUGGGCCCGCGGGCCGGCGGGCUCGGGGCGGCCUGGCCCGGGAGGAGCGGCGAGGGGGCGCCAGCAAGGAUGGGCCGCGGCACCCCCGGCCCCCGGCGAGUGGAUUUCCACGCGGGAAGGAGGUUGGCGGCGCCGGUGACCUUCGGAGACACGGCUGGAUCCACCUUCCAGGAUUUGUACCCAAAAGAAAACAGAAGAGGAGGGUUUGAGUCACCGUUCUGCUGUAUGAUCAUGGAAUCCUGUUACACCUGGGAUUUAGGUGCCUUCAAUCUGGAAAAAAUACAUAUCCGUUCAACACUCCAGAGGGACUUCAGAGCUGUCCUUCCCUCAACUAAAGCUGGAGUAUUUUAGGAUUUGGAGAAUUAAGGUAAGAGAUUUUCUCCUCUUGGGCCUUAGGGGACCAAAAAUGGCUUUUGGAAGUGGAGAUUGCUUGCAACACAACUUGGGUUGUGGUUCUCGGCUUCUCGGCCUGGCUUCCUAUGCUGCUCCAAGGUGCUUGGGAAGCUGGCUUCCCAUAACCUCAUGCGGACGCACAGGAGCCAGCUCUUGGUGUCUGGUCGCCUGGAUGUCAUGCCUCAGGAACGCUCCCUCUGUCCCUAGCUGAGGAAGGAGCCCACCACCUCCUAGGUCGAUACUCCUCUCCUCCUGGUGGAAGGUGGAGAAUGCUCCAGCUGUCUUGCUAAGACAUGUGCAGACCACACUGGGGAGAGGACGAGAAGGUGAGGUGGGGGUUACGUGAUCAAGUCACAGCACCGUUGGGGGCAUCCAGUGUGUGAUCUCUUCCUCCCUCUCUGCCUCCCUGCAUUGCACGCCCCAGCCACACCGAGUCUGAGGCUGCCUGGGGUAAAGGUUACAACCUAGGGCUUCCCGCAGACCCCGGUUUUCCUGAUUUUGCCACUUGCCUCACCUUGAACAAAUCACUGGGCCUCUCUAAGCCUCGGUUUCCUCACUUGUGACAUAGGGAUGGUAUUAGCACCCACUUCAGGAGGAUGUUGUGGGUAUUGAACAAGAUAGUGAAGAUAAAGAGCUUAGCGUGCUGCCUGGCAUGGAGGAGGAGAUGCUCCACAGUGGAAGUCUUUUUUCUUUUUAAUUCAUUAAUUACACCAUUUAGUGGUCAUUGCAUGCAGCAGGCUAUUUCAAGUCCUUGGCCUGCUCUUCUCUCUUCCUUUCACCUACCACCAAGUCUGCCUGGGGAACUGGUAUGUGGAUCCUUCACAGAGGGUCAUGCAUAGCCUCCCACCCCAGCAGAGCUGGUUGCUCCCUCCCCUGGACUGCUGGUGGGCUUUUAGGGCAUGCCUCCAUCAUACUGCAAGAUUUCUUCCCCCCUCCCCUCCCUGUGCCCCCAGCCGCUGGUGAGCUUGCUUAGAGCAAAGACUGUCUUAUACAUCCAGACGCCCCAGGGUUGGGCCUCCCAUUGUGGUUGUUGAAAGAACAAAUGAAUGAAUGAUUGAAAAGGAGGGAAUCGAGAGGAAAAGAGAGCAACCCAAAAGAAGAAAGUUUUUAAAGAUUUAGAGCAAAGAAUGAGGUCAGUUGCAAUUUUUUUUUAAACAAGAUGUUGAAAAGAAUAAAUACCAUGAUGAAAAAAGAGUAACAUGAUUCCUACCACAGAUUUGAAAACUACAGGAUGGAAAGGUGAGUGGGAAAGUGUGGGCUGGUGAGAAGAUGUUAGGGAAGUCAGAACUGCGAGGGUCGCAGAGAACUGUGCUCAUUGUGCUGGUUGUGUCACCUUUUCUCUUGUGCCUUAAAUCUUUCACAGUGCAUUUGUAUUUCUAACCUGUGGUGUUCAGCAGUGGCGAGAUGCACAGAGAUGGAGAGGGCGAGGGCUUUCCUUUCGUUCUAGGUGGGGGACUGACACACACAUAGGAUGCUCCAGGUUCACUGGAUGGAUGCAAGGCCGGGGGGAGGGGCCCUCGUCCAUUGGGGAGGCUUCCUGGAGAGGAUGCUGCCUCUUGAGACUCUGGAAAGAUGCGGGAAGAUUAGCCCUGAGCUAACAUCUGCUACCAAUCCUCCUCUUUUUGCUGAGAAAGACUGGCCCUGAGCUAACAUCCAUGCCCAUCUUCCUCUACUUUCUAUGUGGGACGCCUACCACAGCAUGGCCUGUCAAGCGGUGCCAUGUCCACACCCGGGAUCCGAACCAGCAAACCCCGGACCGCUGAAGUGGAACGUGUGCACUUAACCGCUGCACCAUGGGGCCGGCCCCUGAUUUUGCCAAUUUUUUUUGAGCACAUGCUUCCUCUUCUAUACAAGAGAUCUUCCCCCCGAAUCUGUGUGACUAACCAUUUGUAGAGAGUUUCUGAAACGGUGAGGAAACUACUGCUCAGAGAUGUGAAAUAACUCAGCAGAGGUCACACAGCUAAUAAGUGACAAACAGGAAUGUCCAAGCGGUGAAGGUCAUUUCCAGUCGCCGAGUCUUUCACAAGCCCAUGUCUGGACCGGGACAUCUCAUGUCUCAUCGUGAGCAGGAGACUGGAAAAUAACUGGCCGGAGGGGAUAGGCCCAGCAGUAACACUGGCCCAGAGAGAAUUGAGUGCUUUUGUCCGGUGACAAGAAGACACACGCAGCUGGAAAAAGGAGCCUAGGCCAUCACCAUGUUCCCCAAAUAGCAGAACACCUCCCUCCUUCCCACCUUCUCUCCCGUGGCACAGAAUACGUUUUACCAGGGAUCGGUCACUGCUGAGCUGUCUUCAUUUAAUGUGGCUUUGACAGAAUAGUUGGUCUGGAAAUCUUAUUUUCAAUUAAAUAUCCUUAUUGAACUGCCUUGGUUUUGAAAAGAUUCCAUUAGGAUGGCUAAUUAUAUAGCAGUUGCUCCAAGGAGAUGCUGGCACUCCAUUUCAGCUCUUAAGUAAUUCGAAUCAAAUGCUGUCUUCUUUCCUCCUUGGAGCUGUGAGCGACCGUCUUCCCCUCACACUGUAGGCUUCUCGUGAGUUAUUUUUGGAAAUCCAAGUCAAAACAGCAAUUUUGGCAGAGGCCAUUUCUAGCCUAGCAGAGUAAACCGUAUGUACUGAUAAAAACAGCCGAAGAGUCAGUGCCUUUAAAAAGCAACUAAACCAUCUCCUUCUGUGGGGGUUAAAUUUGGGGGACCUCCAAACUGUCCUUUGUACUAUCCUGUUCCUUCGUGAGCUCUAACUGAAGUCAAAGACAUUGGAAUUCCUUUAAGAUUAGCAAAGCUUUGUCCGUUUGCAAACUGUCAUCGUGGUCAUUUUGUUUCAAGAUGGCAGGCCUUGGCAGAAUUUACCAGGCACUCUGUUUUGGCCUCUGGAUCUCCCCUGAAACGUGGAAAUCACUUUCUGUUCCCAUUCUGUGCUGUUUGCUUCUGUCACCAGAGCACGCGCGACAUUCCUCGCGACAUUCCUCCUUACGCAUACCAAGCAGGCAGACCUUCCUGCUCACCCGUUAGAACGGAGCUUCUUGUGGCCAGGGGCUGUGUUUUUCAUCUUAUCUCCUUCCUGGCACAUAAUAGAUGCUCAAAUAGUUGGAUGAAUAGAUAGAUUAGAUAGAUGAAUGAAUAGAAUCCUAUUUCUAUUUUUCUCUUUUAAAAAAAAAAUCAAUCAUUUAUUACAUAAAUAGUAAAUGAAUGUUUUCACCUUGUGGGGAAAAAACAGCUUCCAAAUGAGGUUAAAGUCCUUUUUUUUUUUCCAGUUUUCUUUUUUUUUAAAGAUUGGCACCUGAGCUAACAACUGUUGCCAAUCUUCCUUUUUCUUUUUUCCUGUUUUUUCUCCCCAAAUCCCCCCAAUACAUAGUUGGGUGU